Molecule: ribosomal RNA, 253 nt
Filed under: uncultured bacterium
Lineage: Bacteria
Description: partial 16S ribosomal RNA
Rfam family: Bacterial small subunit ribosomal RNA
Source: RNAcentral
UACAGAGGUCUCAAGCGUUGUUCGGAUUCAUUGGGCGUAAAGGGUGCGUAGGUGGCGAGGCAAGUCUGGUGUGAAAUCCCGGGGCUCAACCCCGGAACUGCACUGGAUACUGCCUUGCUUGAGCACUGGAGAGGGAACUGGAAUUUACGGUGUAGCAGUGAAAUGCGUAGAUAUCGUAAGGAAGACCAGUGGCGAAGGCGAGUUCCUGGACAGUUGCUGACACUGAGGCACGAAGGCUAGGGGAGCAAACGGG